This 441-nucleotide ribosomal RNA is filed under the name uncultured bacterium. Its description in RNAcentral is "partial 16S ribosomal RNA". It matches the Rfam family "Bacterial small subunit ribosomal RNA", at positions 338 to 795 of the family's 1533-position model. The record is from RNAcentral.
CCUACGGGAGGCAGCAGUGGGGAAUAUUGCACAAUGGGGGAAACCCUGAUGCAGCGACGCCGCGUGAGUGAAGAAGUAUUUCGGUAUGUAAAGCACUAUCAGCAGGGAAGAAGCAAGACGGUACCUGACUAAGAAGCCCCGGCUAACUACGUGCCAGCAGCCGCGGUAAUACGUAGGGGGCAAGCGUUAGACGGAUUUACUGGGUGUAAGGGGAGCGUAGACGGUAUGGCAAGUCUGAAGUGAAAGCCCCGGGCUUAACCCUGGAACUGCUUUGGAAACUGUUAGACUAGAGUGCUGGAGAGGUAGGUAGAAUUCCAGGUGUAGCGGUGAAAUGCGUAGAUAUUAGGAGGAACACCAGUGGCGAAGGCGGCUUACUGGACAGUAACUGACGUUGAGGCGCGAAAGCGUGGGGAGCAAACAGGAUUAGAUACCCCUGUAGUC